This 1471-nucleotide ribosomal RNA is filed under the name uncultured rumen bacterium. RNAcentral's name for it is "bacterial SSU rRNA". It matches the Rfam family "Bacterial small subunit ribosomal RNA". The record is from RNAcentral.
AGAGUUUGAUCCUGGCUCAGGACGAACGCUGGCGGCACGCUUAACACAUGCAAGUCGAACGGAGACAUUUUGGUUUACUGAGAUGUCUUAGUGGCGGACGGGUGAGUAACACGUGAGCAACCUGCCUUCAAGAGGGGGAUAGCUUCUGGAAACGGAUGGUAAUACCCUAUAACAUAGAGACACCGCAUGGUGAUUCUAUCAAAGAUUUAUCGCUUGAAGAUGGGCUCGCGUCCGAUUAGGUAGUUGGUGAGGUAACGGCCCACCAAGCCGACGAUCGGUAGCCGGACUGAGAGGUCGAACGGCCACAUUGGAACUGAGAUACGGUCCAGACUCCUACGGGAGGCAGCAGUGGGGAAUAUUGGGCAAUGGGCGAAAGCCUGACCCAGCGACGCCGCGUGAGGGAAGAAGGUCUUCGGAUUGUAAACCUUUGUCAUCAGGGACGAACAAAUGACGGUACCUGAGAAGGAAGCCACGGCUAACUACGUGCCAGCAGCCGCGGUAAUACGUAGGUGGCGAGCGUUAUCCGGAUUUACUGGGUGUAAAGGGUGUGUAGGCGGAGAAGCAAGUCAGAUGUGAAAUAUUAAGGCUCAACCUUGAUACUGCAUUUGAAACUGUUUCCCUUGAGUGUGGGAGAGGUAAGCGGAAUUCCCGGUGUAACGGUGAAAUGUGUAGAUAUCGGGAGGAAUACCGGUGGCGAAGGCGGCUUACUGGACCAUAACUGACGCUGAGACACGAAAGCGUGGGGAGCAAACAGGAUUAGAUACCCUGGUAGUCCACGCCCUAAACGAUGAAUGCUAGGUGUGGGGGCAAAAGCCUCCGUGCCGCAGCUAACGCAAUAAGCAUUCCACCUGGGGAGUACGGCCGCAAGGUUGAAACUCAAAGGAAUUGACGGGAGCCCGCACAAGCAGUGGAGUAUGUGGAUUAAUUCGAGGCAACGCGAAGAACCUUACCAAGUCUUGACAUCCCUCUGACAGGAUUAGAGAUAAUCCCUUCUUCGGACAGAGGAGACAGGUGGUGCAUGGUUGUCGUCAGCUCGUGUCGUGAGAUGUUGGGUUAAGUCCCGCAACGAGCGCAACCCUUAUGCUUAGUAGCCAGCGGUCUGGCCGGGCACUCUAAGCAGACUGCCAGGAAUAACCUGGAGGAAGGUGGGGAUGACGUCAAAUCAUCAUGCCCCUUAUGACUUGGGCUACACACGUGCUACAAUGGCGCCGACAAAGGGAAGCAAACCCGCGAGGGGGAGCAAAUCCAGAAACGGCGUCCCAGUUCGGACUGUAGUCUGCAACCCGACUAUACGAAGCUGGAAUCGCUAGUAAUCGCGAAUCAGAAUGUCGCGGUGAAUACGUUCCCGGGUCUUGUACACACCGCCCGUCACACCAUGGGAGUCGAUAACGCCCGAAGCCGGUGACCUAACGCAAGAAGGAGCCGUCGAAGGCGGGAUUGGUAACUGGGGUGAAGUCGUAACAAGGUAACC